This 497-nucleotide ribosomal RNA is filed under the name uncultured bacterium. Its description in RNAcentral is "partial 16S ribosomal RNA". It matches the Rfam family "Bacterial small subunit ribosomal RNA", at positions 28 to 507 of the family's 1533-position model. The record is from RNAcentral.
GAUGAACGCUGGCGGCGUGCCUAACACAUGCAAGUCGAGCGAACGGACGCUAAUCUUGCUUUUCUGAUGUUAGCGGCGGGCGGGUGAGUAACACGUGGAUAACCCACCUAUAAGACUGGGAUAACUUCGAGAAAGCGGAGCUAAUACCGGAUAAUAUUUUGAACCGCAUGGUUCAAAAGUGAAAGACGGUCUUGCUGUCACUUAUAGCUGGAUCCGCGCUGCAUUAGCUAGUUGGUAAGGUAACGGCUUACCAAGGCAACGAUGCAUAGCCGACGUGAGAGCGUGAUCGGCGACACGGGAGCUGAGACGCGGUCCUGACUCCUACGGGAGGCAGCAGUAGCGAAUGUUCGGCACUGGGGGGAAGCCUGACGGAGCGGCGCCACGUGAGUGCUGAAGGUCUUCGGAUCGGAAGACUGUGUUAUUGGGGAAAAACAUAUGUGUAAGGAACUGAGCACAUCGUGACGGUACCUAGUCAAGAAGCCACGGCUAACUACGUG